GACGAACGCUGGCGGCGUGCCUAACACAUGCAAGUCGAACGAGGUCCAAGGAAGCUUGCUUCCUGAAGACCUAGUGGCGAACGGGUGAGUAACACGUGAGAAACCUGCCUCGGAGUGGGGAAUAACUCGGGGAAACUCGAGCUAAUACCGCAUACCUUCACAUGAUCGCAUGGUCGAGUGAAGAAAGAAUUUCGCUCUGAGAGGGUCUCGCGGCCUAUCAGCUUGUUGGUGGGGUAACGGCCUACCAAGGCAACGACGGGUAGCUGGUUUGAGAGAACGAUCAGCCACACUGGGACUGAGACACGGCCCAGACUCCUACGGGAGGCAGCAGUGGGGAAUCUUGCGCAAUGGGCGAAAGCCUGACGCAGCAACGCCGCGUGCGGGAUGACGGCCUUCGUGGUUGUAAACCGCUUCAGCAGGGACGAAAUGACGGUACCUGCAGAAGAAGCCCCGGCUAACUACGUGCCAGCAGCCGCGGUAA
Molecule: ribosomal RNA, 481 nt
Filed under: uncultured bacterium
Lineage: Bacteria
Description: bacterial SSU rRNA
Rfam family: Bacterial small subunit ribosomal RNA
Source: RNAcentral